Molecule: non-coding RNA, 44 nt
Organism: Schistosoma haematobium
Lineage: Eukaryota; Metazoa; Platyhelminthes; Trematoda; Strigeidida; Schistosomatidae
Source: Rfam
AUCCAGCUGAUGAGUCCAAAUAAAACGAAAUGCGCGUCCUAAAU